UUGCAUCCACUGAUAGACCUGAAGCAGCUUCUUUGGCUUCUUGGUUUGCAUAGAGAUGCUAAACUGAGCUUUCCUCGUGAUUUCUGACUGCUACAUUCUAUAGCAGCACCGAAUGAACUGAGGAAUACAUGC
This 132-nucleotide small nucleolar RNA is filed under the name Cyclopterus lumpus (lumpfish). RNAcentral's name for it is "Small nucleolar RNA SNORA31 (ENSCLMG00005004186.1)". It matches the Rfam family "Small nucleolar RNA SNORA31". Rfam says of the family: ACA31 (SNORA31) belongs to the H/ACA class of snoRNAs which are thought to guide the sites of modification of uridines to pseudouridines. ACA31 is predicted to guide the pseudouridylation of U3713 in 28S rRNA and U218 in 18S rRNA. Lineage: Eukaryota; Metazoa; Chordata; Actinopteri; Perciformes; Cyclopteridae. The record is from Rfam by way of RNAcentral.